RNAcentral lists this ribosomal RNA (484 nucleotides) under uncultured bacterium. RNAcentral's name for it is "partial 16S ribosomal RNA". It matches the Rfam family "Bacterial small subunit ribosomal RNA", at positions 30 to 507 of the family's 1533-position model. The record is from RNAcentral.
AUUGAACGCUGGCGGAAUGCUUUACACAUGCAAGUCGAACGGCAGCACGGUGGCAGCCCUGGUGGCGAGUGGCGAACGGGUGAGUAAUACAUCGGAACGUGCCCGGUCGUGGGGGAUAACGUAGCGAAAGUUACGCUAAUACCGCAUACGAUCUGAGGAUGAAAGCGGGGGACCUUCGGGCCUCGCGCGAUCGGAGCGGCCGAUGUCAGAUUAGGUAGUUGGUGGGGUAAAGGCCUACCAAGCCGACGAUCUGUAGCUGGUCUGAGAGGACGACCAGCCACACUGGGACUGAGACACGGCCCAGACUCCUACGGGAGGCAGCAGUGGGGAAUUUUGGACAAUGGGCGCAAGCCUGAUCCAGCCAUUCCGCGUGCAGGACGAAGGCCUUCGGGUUGUAAACUGCUUUUGUACGGAACGAAAAGGCUCUGGCUAAUACCUGGGGCUCAUGACGGUACCGUAAGAAUAAGCACCGGCUAACUACGUG